Phalaenopsis equestris is the source of this 147-nucleotide long non-coding RNA. RefSeq lists it as uncharacterized. The record is from RefSeq and is a predicted model, not a curated record. The transcript has 2 exons. NCBI's taxonomy places the organism in Eukaryota, Viridiplantae, Streptophyta, Magnoliopsida, Asparagales, Orchidaceae.
UACAUUUCCCCUGGCUAUUUUUAUAGACUGCACCUGACUGGAGGCAGGCUCUUACUCUGAAGAAGGUAGUGGAAGAUCGGAUCACCAAAGAUGGAGUACUUGGUAUCGGAAUCGCUGCGACUGCUGUGGGACUUAUAAUUGGUGGAA